GCUGGGGGAGGAGAGAGUAAGAACAGGCUCCAGUGCUUGGAUGCCUUCCUAUUUGGAGUCCUGGAAAGUUCACUCCGUGCUCCAUAAGCUCCGUAUCCCUCCCUCUAUGAACAAGAACUUUAGGGAGGAAAUAGCAUAUGGGAGAUACCCUCCUCGUCUGGGCUCUUCUGGUCACGACACUGGGACCUAGCCUUCUGUCUUUGGAGGCCACUCCCUCAUCUCAGGGAGGGUCCAGUCCUGGGCAAGACUGACCUGACCGUGAGUGGAGAGUGGCUUGGACUUCUGGGAAAGGCUGUCACUGUCCUCUCCCUUUCCGUGUGGUUGUGUGCAACAUUUCCCAGCAGCCCUUUGGAAAAUCCUGCUCCACCAAGGUCUUUAUAAGAUGGCAUGAUGGCAGCUACUGAUCAGUCAGAUCCAGGAUGGUGAGGCUCUUCAUCUUGUCUCCUGAAAGGAAGCUCCAGUCCUCUGCGCACAGUGGAGAUACCUCAGACCAGCUGCUGAUGGAAGAUGUGGAAACCAAGGUGGUUUCUGGUAUACAGAAUUCUGUUCCCUGCUGUGGUACUUUCCCGCUCUCAAACUCAGUGCAAAGUCUGAGUGGGAAAAUCUCUGAAGAAAGUUGGAAUGUUCUUUACUGGCAGAUUUCUCUGUGUCAUGAAUAGGAGAUUGGGUGUUUGUUUGUUUGUUUGGUUUGGUUUGGGUUUUGGUUUCUGAGACUGGGUUCCCUUCCCCGUGUUGAUCUGGCUGUCUUGGACCUUGAUCUAUAGAUCAGGCUGACCUCAAACUAAGAGGUUUACCUACCCCUGCCUCCCAAGUCACUGAGAUUAAAGGCAUGCACCAUCAUUGCCUGAUUGGGAGGCUUUUCUUUGUGCAGACUCCCUGUAGACUUUAUUCUGUGAAGCUCAGCAUGGUUUAUACUUCUUUCUAGAAACAGUUGUAUGGUGGUUAAGAGUCAGUGCUGUGCAGCCAGAUAGGCAUAGAGGUUCAAAUCCUGGUAUGCCUUCUACUAGCUGAGUGGUGGGGAAAGUGUCUGAACUUCUGAAGGGCAUGUGGACCACUUCGCCAGAGGAAUGGGCAUGGGACUGGUGAAGUGGAACAUGCUUAAACCCUGGAAGUCUCAGAAUUUGAGACCAACAGAAAGAGAACUAAUUCCCUCCUGUUUCCAUGCCUGCCCUGGGACAUGUAACCAUGGCCCUCUGACAAGGUGAUUACAGUCAAUCAAGUACAAGAACCUCUCCAUGCUAAUGAGGCAUCUUAGUGGCCUUAGCUUCGGUCAAUGACCUUCCCUUCCUGGAUAUUCUCACACCCUUCCCCCAAACUAUAUAAUCUUUGCUUCAUCCCGAAUAAAGCACAUGCAUUCAAAUGCACUCACAAUAAAGAAAUACGAAAAAGCUAAGAUCAUCUCAGACAGCCGCUUCAUUAGAGAUCAUUGGGGAAGGCCUUUGCCUAAAAGCUGUAGCACUAAGAUUCUUGAAGAAAGCCUUCUCUCUUCUGUCUUCCUCCUGCCCCCUC
Molecule: long non-coding RNA, 1509 nt
Organism: Mus musculus (house mouse)
Lineage: Eukaryota; Metazoa; Chordata; Mammalia; Rodentia; Muridae
Product: predicted gene, 33974
Exons: 3
Source: RefSeq, a predicted model, not a curated record